CCGCUCUCCCACGGAUCGUGCUCCCUCCCCAUGCCCUCCUUCUUACUCCUUACCGCGGAGUCCGAGGCCACUCGUGGCCUUCGGUGCCUCCUCCGCAUCGGCGACCUCGCCUGACACGGCUGCCGUCUCUCAGUCGGCCUCUCUUCACCCUUCGGCCUGGUCUCUGCUCCCCUCUCUUUUCUGGUUGUUCCCUAUGGAUGGUUGGCGCCUGAAGGGCGGAUGGAUCCGAUGGAAAGCUAGCUUCUCCGGAUCCGGUCAGAUCAUAUCUCCCGGUAACCCGUUCCGAUCAACCUCUUCCGGUAUUUUUUCAGAGGAAAGGUUGGCCAACGGCGUUCCGGUGGUUGGAUUUGUAUUUGGUGGCGGUGGACUCCGGUUAUGUCCACUGAUUGCUUGCUGUUCGGUUCGCUUAAGUGGUAAAGCUGAUGUCUUUAGGUUAGAAGAAUAACUAAGAUUGGGUAGGAAGGAAGGAUGGUGGAUUGGGUAGCUAGCUGCUGGCUGCUUGGUUCAGGAGUUGGGGUUAAAUUAGCGUCUGAAAUACUUGUUUGGUUUAGGUAUUCCUAUGUAGACGACCUGAUUAUGAUUCAGGGUGAUUUAUCGUAGCAGUAAUCUGAAGUUUGGUGUGGUGUUUGAUCUGUGUGAGUCUUGUGUUAGGUGAGUCAUGAACAAAUUUAUGUGGUCUUUAUUAGUAGGUCAAGGUGAAGUUCUUCUCUUUAUGUAUCGUCAUGAACAAAGUUAUGUGGUCUUUAUUAGUAGGUCAAGGUGAAGUUCUUCUCUUUAUGUAUCUAUAUCAGCUUAGCUGUGAUAUGCGUGUGAGUCGUAAAUUUCGAUAUAUGAAAGUCUGUUCUUGCAUCCGAUCAGGAAUUGUGAACAUCUCUUUCUUCAUAUGCCUCUCUUUCGUGAAAUUGGGGAUAUGUCUUUCGUCUAGAUUUACUUCUGUUCGGCUGCUCCGCUGGCGGCUGCUGCUGUUCAUGCUCAUGCACUUGGAUGUCAUGAAUUAUAAACCAAAGAUUUGGGAAUUAUUUAACUAUGGAAGCCAUGAAUUCUAUCCUCAUUAGGGACACAUGUUUAUAUUAGAAUUCAUGGAUCAAAAGAAUAACUAACUAGCUGAUAGAUAGCUGAUAGAUAUAUGGAUUAAAUGAUAGAUUUAAUAAAACCAUCAGAUUGGAUGUGAGGUAUGGAUUUAUUUAAUUCAGUGUUUUCCUUAACCGAGCAAGGCCUAACACUUUGCGUGGAUUUAACUUGAAUCGGCGAACUCUGUGCCGCGGUUAUCGCUAAGGCUGAAGUAUUCUUUCUUGGGGCAGUUGAACGUGCGUACUCUAGGAUCAUUCUUUGGAUUACUCUGACCGCCGGUGUUGUUGACCGCUGAAGCUCCCGUGCAUUGCUGAGUCAAUUUGACUCCGUAUGCCGGCCAGAGACUUCAGGAAGACUGAAACAUUAGCAUUGGUGGUAAGAGGAAAAGAUGGCCAUGCCAAGAGUUCCAGGGCAGCAGCUCCUGACGCCAAGGAGUAUGACGAAUACGAGGAGGAGCACACCGAGCCUUUUGCGGAAGCUGCGACGACCUUUACAUUGGCAGCAACUAAAUAAUGGACUGAGUUAGCUGACAAUAGGCCAUUUGAUUCUAUCCCAUGUUUGGUGCAUGUAGUGUAUCAUGUUUCGUUUACCAUCUCUAUUGUCAUGAUCAGAGCUCUGGCUAUCUUUUCAAGACCAUGCUGAGUGUACAGAACUUGGACAAUCUUUGGCGGACUUCGGAAAGGCGAUUAAGCUUUUGGGCUCUUGUGAAGGAGAUUUGAUGGAAAAGGUGUUUUCUGAAGUUGGUUCAAAGUCAGAGAUGUUGUCAAUAAAGCUGCAAAGAGAGGCAAUCAGAGCAGAUGGACAGACACAAUUGAGCCAUGAAAUAGCUUUGGAGCUAAGUCAGAGGAGUGCUGCUGCUGGACUAAGGCCGAUUGGAGCAGUGGUCUUCAUGCAACGGGGUGUCCUGAAGGUUUGCUUGAGGACUACUGACAGUACAGUUAAUACAUCAGAGAUUGCAAAGGUGUGCCACCAUCGUAAUUAUGUUCUUUUUAACUAUGCAUGGCCUUUUAGUUGGAUAUGAUCGUUCAUCUCUGCCACAUCAUAAAAAUGUAGGCAUAUGGCGGAGGUGGAAAACGAAGUUCGAGUUCAUUCACUCUAAGAAUGGAUGAGUUCAACAUCUGGACUUCAGUGAACUCAUGAAUUGAACUGGAGAGGUCACAUAGUGUUCAUACUGUGGGAACUCGCAACCAGCUCAUCUGGGCAUGGAUUCCCUCAGUGGUGAACAUGUGAAGAUGGGGUGGUCUUUUUGUGCUCCGGUAUGAGAGGAAGGAAAACAAAAUCUUAGUCUAACCUACCAUGUUGAUAUGAGCUUACAGGAGAAUAAUCUCUUCGAUAUGAAUGACUGGAGAGCAAUUUGGAGGCAUAAUGCUUAAGCCGUUCAAGAGAAGAUUUGAUGCCUUUAAAUGAAAGGUUUGCUGGUACAUCAAAAGACGUAUUUUAUGCUCUUUCUAAUCUUUCUCCAGUAGACCUAUGUGCUUAAUUUUAGAGAUGAUAAGGGUGGUGCGGGCCGAAGAUCUGUCAUACUCCUAGGGGCCAAUUAUAGCUUACACUUAUGUUGUUAUUAGUUUUGAAUGCUGAACAUACAUGGAGAUGGGUAGCUCAGCUCAGCUUGGAUAUAACUUGGUUUCUAUCCAAACUAAUACUUUGCUCCAUAGGGAAUGCAUCUGGCAACGGAAAUUGUUGUCAAGCUCCAGUAGCAGAAAGGAUCAUCUUCAAUUAUUGUAAUCCUGCUCCUUAAUAAUACAUUCUUGGAUCUUGCUCUGGGCUUAAAAAAUCUGCAUCACCAAAUUGUUCCUCGUUGCGAACAUUUAUGUAAUACAGAACCUUAGAAACUGGAAAUGUUUAUUCCAUUCCGGUAAUUUGGGAAUGAUCUGUGUUAAAAUCCUUUUUAAGUGUCAUACCACGCACUAUUUUUCUGUUCCUCAACUCUAUCGAUCCCAUAACCUAUUUCUGUUAACUGGUUACUAAGGACAUGUACAAUCCCAUAACCAAAUUGGUGGGUAUGCAAUGCGUCAAUGAAAAAACCAUUUCUUCAGUCCUGUAAUGUUGUUCCGAUUGCGUCAAUGAAAAAACUGUAAUUUUUGACCGGGGAGAUGGUAGCACUAGCAUGUGGGGAUUAAAGUUCCUAAAUGUUCAGUACUGUCCUAAACACUUGUUUUAUCUUUUUUGAGUGGAAGUCCGACGUCCGAGAGGGGCUCGCCAUUGGGCUUGGCAUGGGCACAGUCAUGCUGCUCCUCUUCUGCGGCUACUCGCUGGUGAUUUGAUAUGGCUCUAAGCUGAUCCUGGAGAUGGUGUACACCGGAGCCAAGGUCACAACAUGAUCUUUGUAGUCCUCACUGGUUCUCUUUUCUCAAAUUGACCAUGGUGUUGUAAAUUUGAUCAAUGAAGAAGAUUCAAGAAUUACCGUUUUACUGGAUUGCCAUGGGAUUUCGCCAUUCAGAUUUCCAAUGCAAAUGAUGAGGUCGUUUAUCACUGUGGUUCAAGAAAACUACCCGAAUCGUCUUGGGGUAUUGUUUGUCAUCCGCCUUCCUCCAGUUGUCAGAGUUAUUGCACAGACAUUUCUUCAAAUUGCAAUAUCACAUGGUAUCCGUGGAGAUGAGGACGACAUUGCCUCCAAGUCUGCUCCACCGGCAUCCAUCGACGGUGCAAGAUCCAGCAGAUAGAUUGAUGGCAAAGAGGACGACUCCAUGUCCAGGCGUACUCCCCGCCUUGCAUCGAGAUUGCUAGGUCAUAAUCGAAGGGUUUACAGGGAGGAGAUCUGAACAUAGCUCUUCAAUCCCAAAGUUAACAUCGUUGGUUACCAUAAUUCUUACUGCUUGCAAGCCCUUUUAGAAUAUUACUGCUGCGAGGUUCUUGCAAGUCCUUGAUGAAGAAGUCGAAGGUGACGAACGCCGAGGCCGUCAUCCUGAUCGACGCCAAGAACCUCACAGCGCACCUCCUUGUGAUGCUCUUUUCUCCAAUGUCUUCUCUUAUCUACAUGCAGGAAAAAAUCUACAUGUUGAUGGCGUGGAUCAGAAAAAUGUGGAAGGACAAGAUUUAAGAUGCACUGCCAUGGUUGGCGGUCUAUUUACUGCAUCUCGAAGCGGCUUGCAUUCAAAGGACUAUAUUGUACAUGACCUUGAAGGAGCUGACCAUGUGACAGACCUUGAUCAUAACCAUGUUGCAGAGUUGAAGAUAUUAGGACUAUAUUAAACAUUGCUGCAUAUAGCAUCAGCAACAACUUGGUUUCCGUCGCUGCCCAAACUUCAGCAGAGGCGAUCUAAGAAGAAGCAAGCGUAUCGGCUCAUGUUCUGACGGCCGUGUUCACGUGGUGUAAGAUCUGCAUUGUGGAAUCCUUCGCCCGGACAAGAGAGAUUGGAUCCUCCCGUCCAGACAACCUGAUAGAACGACAGUGUAUAAGAACAGGGCUCUUAGGACGCCUUUUGUCAAGUUGGGUCAUAACUCUACCCUGAGAAUUGAGAUAGAUGAUCAUGUGGUGCAAGAUAUUGAGUCCCUAAUCUUUGAUGACACACAUAACAAAUGGUAAGCGUCUCCGUGGAUGGAGCCUGAAGUAUAUUCAAAUUCAAGGCAUGCCACAAAGCAUCUCGCGUGUGGGAUGCUCCGGCGUGUGGAAAGUAGAAAAGCCAAAUAAAUGGGUACAUGUACAGCAGGCGUGAGUUCUUAAAUACUCAGAUUCCUUGUCCAUAGGCAAAUGCAUAGUUCAUACGAAUCAGAGUACACGAUGCACACAACUUGAUGUCUCUAUCGUUGUUUUCAACAUGAUGAACAUGCGAAUUUCGUGGUAUUAAUUGGGACCGUCUGAUUUCUCA
Zea mays is the source of this 4880-nucleotide RNA transcript. RefSeq lists it as uncharacterized. Lineage: Eukaryota; Viridiplantae; Streptophyta; Magnoliopsida; Poales; Poaceae. The record is from RefSeq and is marked validated.